GACGAACGCUGGCGGCGUGCUUAACACAUGCAAGUCGAACGGAAAGGCCCUGCUUUUGUGGGGUGCUCGAGUGGCGAACGGGUGAGUAACACGUGAGUAACCUGCCCUUGACUUUGGGAUAAAUUCAGGAAACUGGGGCUAAUACCGGAUAGGAGCUCCUGCUGCAUGGUGGGGGUUGGAAAGUUUCGGCGGUUGGGGAUGGACUGGCGGCUUAUGCGCUUGUUAGUGGGGUAGUGGAUUACGAAGGCUUUGAAGGGUAGCCGGCCUGGGAGGGGGACCGGCGACAAGGCUACUGAGAUACGCCCCAGUCUCCUACGGGAGGCAGCAGGGGGGAAUAUUGCACAAUGGGCGGAAGCCUGAUGCAGCAACGCCGCGUGCGGGAUGACGUGCUACGGGUUGUAAACCGCUUUCGCCUGUGACGAAGCGUGAGUGACGGUAAUGGGUAAAGAAGCACCGGCUAACUACGUG
Molecule: ribosomal RNA, 468 nt
Filed under: uncultured bacterium
Lineage: Bacteria
Description: partial 16S ribosomal RNA
Rfam family: Bacterial small subunit ribosomal RNA
Source: RNAcentral